This 1393-nucleotide long non-coding RNA is filed under the name Arabidopsis lyrata. Its description in RNAcentral is "long non-coding RNA (ALYR_LNC001220)". Lineage: Eukaryota; Viridiplantae; Streptophyta; Magnoliopsida; Brassicales; Brassicaceae. The record is from RNAcentral.
AUACAUUUCUUCUUGCAAAUCAUUCCAUGGACCUGAUCUCAUCACUGCGAAGGUGGUGGUUGGGCUUGUUCCUCAUCUUUCUGCACCUCUUUGGGGGCUUCCUUGAUAUCAUCACUAGUUUCGUCCUGGAGAUAAGAUAUUAGCCACAAGUGUUAUGCGCAAAUCAACAAGAAUCUUACUUAAUUGCAUGAUGCAAUCACUAAGAGAUUGCUAACAAUGAAGAGUGCAAGAAGAGACAAGUACAUUGAGGUCAGAAGUCCAGAGGGUGAGAUUGUCACGCAGAAGCUGCAUGAUCAAUGUACUGUCCUUGUAUGAUUCCUCUCCCAAUGUGUCUAGCUCAGAGAUUGCCUCAUCAAAAGCCUACCACCAUGAAAAUCAUAUUUUUAACUAAACAAAAAGGUACUUGAAUCAAACUAGAAUCAGAAUGUAAAGCUUGUCCAAAUUUCACUAGUGUAUGGAAACAUUCGCAGGACCUAGUUUCCCAAUUCUGCCCAUCAUAAAAAUUAACUACAGUCCUAUCGGUCAGGCAAUGAUAAGCAAUCUGCAAACCAUUACUAGAUCAUAUGAAAAGUCUACCCACAUGGAAAUUGUAACAAGUAAACUACAUAACACGUUUUUGCCACAUUAUGAAGAUAUAUAUAAAAAAGAACCUCUCAUGUGCUUAAGUUUUAUCAAGCAGAACAGUUGGACUAUAGGUUUGUUAGUUAAUAACAGAAAGCAUAGCAUAAACCAUAUAACAAAUGAGAAAGUAACACAGACCUGCUUUGCGAGACUACACGCACGAUCAGAUGAGUUGAGAAUCUCAUAGUAGAAAACAGAGAAGUUAAGAGCAAGCCCCAGUCUGAUCGGGUGAGUGGGAGGCAAAUCAGCAAGAGCAAUAUCCUACAUAAAAAGACAAACACCAAUAGCGUGAGUCAACAUGUUAUCUUAGCACUCUAUAGGGUUAACAAGAAGAAACAAGAUGAUAACCUGAGCAGACUUGUAGGCCACAAGAGUGCUCUCAGCAGCUUCUUUCCUCUCAGCACCAGUCUUGAAUUCAGCAAGGUACCGAUGAUAAUCUCCCUUCAUCUUGAGGUAAAACACUUUGGACUCAGCCAAAGAAGCAGCAGGAAUGAGAUGAGCCUCGAGAAGGUUCAAAAUGCCAUCGCAAAUCUUGCUGAGCUCAGUUUCAAUCUUGCCUCUGUAAUCCUUGAUAAUCGAAACGUGAUCACUGUUACCCCUGCUAUCUUCCUUCUGCUCAAUGGAAGAGAUAAUCCUCCAAGAAGCCCUCCUAGCACCAAUCACGUUCUUGUAAGCAACAGACAAGAGAUUCCUCUCUUCAACAGUAAGUUCCUCAGUGUCCACGGUCUUAGCAACUUUCUCCAUGAACUCAACCAUUUCCUCGUAACGCUCA